GGGUGCAUAGCUCAAAGGUAGAGCGACGGCCUGUUAAGCCGUGGGUUGAAGGUUCAAGUCCUUCUGCGCCCGCCA
Molecule: transfer RNA, 75 nt
Filed under: Pleionea litopenaei
Lineage: Bacteria; Pseudomonadati; Pseudomonadota; Gammaproteobacteria; Oceanospirillales; Pleioneaceae
Description: Pleionea sp. HL-JVS1 tRNA-Asn
Rfam family: tRNA
About the family: Transfer RNA (tRNA) molecules are approximately 80 nucleotides in length.
Source: RNAcentral